Molecule: ribosomal RNA, 486 nt
Filed under: uncultured bacterium
Lineage: Bacteria
Description: partial 16S ribosomal RNA
Rfam family: Bacterial small subunit ribosomal RNA
Source: RNAcentral
AUUGAACGCUGGCGGCAUGCCUUACACAUGCAAGUCGAACGGCAACACGGGUGCUUGCACCUGGUGGCGAGUGGCGAACGGGUGAGUAAUACAUCGGAACAUGUCCUGUAGUGGGGGAUAGCCCGGCGAAAGCCGGAUUAAUACCGCAUACGAUCUACGGAUGAAAGCGGGGGACCUUCGGGCCUCGCGCUAUAGGGUUGGCCGAUGGCUGAUUAGCUAGUUGGUGGGGUAAAGGCCUACCAAGGCGACGAUCAGUAGCUGGUCUGAGAGGACGACCAGCCACACUGGGACUGAGACACGGCCCAGACUCCUACGGGAGGCAGCAGUGGGGAAUUUUGGACAAUGGGCGAAAGCCUGAUCCAGCAAUGCCGCGUGUGUGAAGAAGGCCUUCGGGUUGUAAAGCACUUUUGUCCGGAAAGAAAUCCUUGGCCCUAAUACGGUCGGGGGAUGACGGUACCGGAAGAAUAAGCACCAGCUAACUACGUG